This is an unclassified non-coding RNA of 406 nucleotides. The stretch from base 134 to 282 matches the Rfam family "5.8S ribosomal RNA".
CCUUCCGUAGGUGAACCUGCGGAAGGAUCAUUAUUGAUUUUAUUAUUAUUUGUGGUCUUUUAACGGAUAUUCGCUGCUUAGCGGUAGCAUAAACUAUUAUCAUUACUAUUUAAAAAUUAAAAUUAAAAAUCAAAACUUUUAACAACGGAUCUCUUGGUUCUCGCAUCGAUGAAGAACGUAGCGAAUUACGAUAUGUUUUGUGAAUUGCAGAAGUGAAUCAUCAAUUUUUGAACGCACAUUGCACCUUAUGGUAUUCCGUAAGGUAUAUCUGUUUGAGCGUUGUUUCUUUCUUGAGAUUACAUUUUGUUUUCUUUAAAAGAAUGAUUCAAAUGAGUUUGAAUAAACAAUUCUAUAACUCAACCUCAGAUCAGAUAGGAUUACCCGCUGAACUUAAGCAUAUCAAUAA